This 269-nucleotide ribosomal RNA is filed under the name uncultured prokaryote. Its description in RNAcentral is "partial 16S ribosomal RNA". It matches the Rfam family "Bacterial small subunit ribosomal RNA", at positions 524 to 792 of the family's 1533-position model. The record is from RNAcentral.
UACGGAGGGUGCGAGCGUUAUCCGGAAUCACUGGGCGUAAAGGGCGCGUAGGCGGUUUGUUAAGUCUGAUGUUAAAGACUGGGGCUCAACCCCGGCAUGGCGUUGGAUACUGGCAGGCUUGACGGUUGGAGAGGCGAGUGGAAUUGCCAGUGUAGCGGUGGAAUGCGUAGAUACUGGUAGGAACACCUAUUGCGAAGGCAGCUCGCUGGACAAUUCGUGACGCUGAGGCGCGAAAGUGUGGGGAGCAAACCGGAUUAGAUACCCGCGUA